UGCGUAGGCGGUUGAUUAAGUUGGAUGUGAAAUACCCGGGCUUAACUUGGGGGUGCAUUCAAAACUGGUUAACUAGAGUACAGGAGAGGGAAGCGGAAUUCCUAGUGUAGCGGUGAAAUGCGUAGAUAUUAGGAGGAACACCGGUGGCGAAGGCGGCUUUCUGGACUGACACUGACGCUGAGGCACGAAAGCGUGGGGAGCAAACA
RNAcentral lists this ribosomal RNA (206 nucleotides) under uncultured bacterium. RNAcentral's name for it is "partial 16S ribosomal RNA". It matches the Rfam family "Bacterial small subunit ribosomal RNA", at positions 568 to 774 of the family's 1533-position model. The record is from RNAcentral.